GAUGAACGCUGGCGGCGUGCCUAAUACAUGCAAGUCGAGCGAACGGACGAGAAGCUUGCUUCUCUGAUGUUAGCGGCGGACGGGUGAGUAACACGUGGAUAACCUACCUAUAAGACUGGGAUAACUUCGGGAAACCGGAGCUAAUACCGGAUGACAUUUUGAACCGCAUGGUUCAAAAGUGAAAGACGGUCUUGCUGUCACUUAUAGAUGGAUCCGCGCUGCAUUAGCUAGUUGGUAAGGUAACGGCUUACCAAGGCAACGAUGCAUAGCCGACCUGAGAGGGUGAUCGGCCACACUGGAACUGAGACACGGUCCAGACUCCUACGGGAGGCAGCAGUAGGGAAUCUUCCGCAAUGGGCGAAAGCCUGACGGAGCAGCGCCGCGUGAGUGAUGAAGGUCUUCGGAUCGUAAAACUCUGUUAUUAGGGAAGAACAUAUGUGUAAGUAACUGUGCACAUCUUGACGGUACCUAAUCAGAAAGCCACGGCUAACUACGUG
RNAcentral lists this ribosomal RNA (497 nucleotides) under uncultured bacterium. Its description in RNAcentral is "partial 16S ribosomal RNA". It matches the Rfam family "Bacterial small subunit ribosomal RNA", at positions 28 to 507 of the family's 1533-position model. The record is from RNAcentral.